UACGGGGGGAGCAAGCGUUGUUCGGAUUUACCGGGCGUAAAGGGCGCGUAGGCGGCCACCGCAAGUCGAUUGUGAAAUCUCCGGGCUUAACCCGGAAAGGUCAACCGAUACUGCGGGGCUAGAGUGCAGAAGGGGCAACUGGAAUUCUCGGUGUAGCGGUGAAAUGCGUAGAUAUCGAGAGGAACACCUGCGGCGAAGGCGGGUUGCUGGGCUGACACUGACGCUGAAGUGCGAAAGCUAGGGGAGCGAACGGG
RNAcentral lists this ribosomal RNA (254 nucleotides) under uncultured bacterium. RNAcentral describes it as "partial 16S ribosomal RNA". It matches the Rfam family "Bacterial small subunit ribosomal RNA", at positions 524 to 776 of the family's 1533-position model. The record is from RNAcentral.